GCAGCGAUGGUAGCAAUACCAGUCGGCGACCGGCGGAUGGGUGAGUAACACGUAUGCAACCUGCCUUCAACAUUGGAAUAACCCGUUGAAAGACGGACUAAUGCCUUAUAACACAGGGGCGCCGCAUGGCGAUAUUUGUUAAAGAUUUUAUCGGUUGAAGAUGGGCAUGCGCAUGAUUAGUUAGUUGGUAAGGUAACGGCUUACCAAGACAACGAUCAUUAGGGGUUCUGAGAGGAAGGUCCCCCACACUGGUACUGAGACACGGGACCAGACUCCUACG
RNAcentral lists this ribosomal RNA (280 nucleotides) under uncultured bacterium. RNAcentral describes it as "partial 16S ribosomal RNA". It matches the Rfam family "Bacterial small subunit ribosomal RNA", at positions 69 to 343 of the family's 1533-position model. The record is from RNAcentral.